GUCCUCGUGGUGUAGUGGUUAUCAUACUCUCUUAGGGUGACGUCAGUUUCUUAUGGGAGUGGCCCCGCGUUCGAAUCGCGGCGAGGACC
RNAcentral lists this transfer RNA (89 nucleotides) under Cutaneotrichosporon oleaginosum. Its description in RNAcentral is "tRNA-Pro". Lineage: Eukaryota; Fungi; Basidiomycota; Tremellomycetes; Trichosporonales; Trichosporonaceae. The record is from RNAcentral.